Molecule: long non-coding RNA, 1151 nt
Filed under: Carassius auratus (goldfish)
Lineage: Eukaryota; Metazoa; Chordata; Actinopteri; Cypriniformes; Cyprinidae
Description: lncRNA (ENSCARG00000023601.1)
Source: RNAcentral
AUGCUGCAAACUCGCUUUCAUGCCUCUUUGUUUGGGAAGCGUGUUGUUGUGUUCGGAUGUGGACCGGCGGAUUCAUAUGAAACAUUUCUUCAACAGAUCAUGAAAGUGUUGAAAACGAUAUGUUUCCAGCGUUUGUCCCUGGACUCGUGUCAUCACAUCUCUCCACAGCUGCAGAUGGUGACAGCUUUCCCCUCAGCUCCUCCGAGGAUCAUUUGUAUUGAUGUAUUCGGACCGUUGCUCCCUCUCCAAGUGCCGUUUUGUUUGUCCCGUCGGCCCAUGAAUUUUAAGCGCGGUAAGUAACUCACUCUUGUCAACAGAUCUGUUUAUUGGCUUCAGAAUUAUUCAUAAAGUGCCAGCAGUCACGAGCGACCGGUCGUUUGGGUCAAUCUGAAGGAUCUGUGUCACAUUACGUAUUCCAGAAAUGUUAAAAUGCCAUCACUAUAUGUCUCCCUUAAGGCUUCGGGAAAAGGCCAAGUUUCAUGAGAGCAGGACGACUGGGAAAAUAGAGAGAGCUACGAGACGUUACCGGGGAUAAGCAUCCAUUAACAUUUCUGAUAAACUGAUGCAAUGUUAUUCAGAGGUCUAUUGAAGAAAUUGCUAGUUACAAGCAAACAUGGAAGUACUUCGUUCAGAUUGAGUAAAAAAAUAAGCAAAAAGUGCUGUGCGAAGUGUUUAAACCAUUUCCAAACGAUUGGAGAUUUGGUUUUCUGUGAUUUUUCCUGGAUUAUCAAUUUCAAAUAUAUCAAGUAAUUUAUAUAUAUAUAUAAAUAGUGUGUGUGUGUGUGUGUGUGUGUGUGUGUGCACUGUUUGAGAUUGACUGGAUCUGUGAAUAAUCCUGAUGUACGGUUGCUGCUGUCGUUGUACGAGGUCAUGAUCAUUCAGCUCAUAAUGAGAUGAAAAGUUCAUAAUGUUUCAUUCUAGGGUCUUCAGAUCAACUUUUGAGCGUCUGUCUUCUUCAAUUCAGCAUAACAGGGAUGUUCUUGUUGGUAAGUCAGUGUCAAGGUCAUGGGUUUGAAUCCUCAGGGACUGCAUGCACUGAUAAAAACAGAUCAUCUUUAGAUGCAUUCUGAUUUGUGAUUAAAGGGAUCUUUUGUGGUGUUUUGCAGCCUCAUCUGUUCUGGACCGAACACGCUGUGGUUGGCCACGUUCCC